GUAGGGAAUAUUGGACAAUGGGCGGAAGCCUGAUCCAGCCAUGCCGCGUGGAGGAUGACUGCCCUCUGGGUUGUAAACUCCUUUUGUACAGGAAGAAACCUCCUCAUUUAUGAGUGAGCUGACGGUACUGUAAGAAUAAGCACCGGCUAACUCCGUGCCAGCAGCCGCGGUAAUACGGAGGGUGCAAGCGUUAUCCGGAUUCACUGGGUUUAAAGGGUGCGUAGGCGGUUUUAUAAGUCAGUGGUGAAAUCAACGGGCUCAACCUGUUAACUGCGAUUGAUACUGUAGGACUUGAAUAUGAGAGAGGUAGGCGGAAUGUUGCAUGUAGCGGUGAAAUGCUUAGAUAUGAUACAGAACACCGAUAGCGAAGGCAGCUUGCUGAACCAUUAUUGACGCUGAGGCACGAAAGCGUGGGGAGCGAACAGGAUUAGAAACCCCUGUAGUCC
Molecule: ribosomal RNA, 446 nt
Filed under: uncultured bacterium
Lineage: Bacteria
Description: partial 16S ribosomal RNA
Rfam family: Bacterial small subunit ribosomal RNA
Source: RNAcentral